ACCAGAGUCCCCACCCAAAACAGCACAAGGGGAACCGUCGCAAUUAAACUCUCUCAUGCCGUUAAACAACGACACACACGCAAACAAUUUGGGUACGAAUUUGGUUGUAUUAUAAGAAAGGAAAAGAAAAGAAAUUCGCAGGCACCUUAGCAAGUUCACAGAAAAUAUAAUAUGCCCCACAAAAAAAGAACCACGUUGGCGCGCUUUGUCAGAGCUCUGUUGAAGAAGGCAAAUUGCAGCUUUCUCACCCAGUUCAGUCCUGGCUUUGGAAAUUGUUCAAGGGCCGCCAUUUCCUAAGGUAAUUGGAAUCCAGAGGCAUAGCACCGUCGAUACAAAGUCCUCCAGAAUUUGGGAUAAUCCGUUCGGUAGGACAAAGCUACAAAUCCCGCAAUUAUUUCAAAUACUUAUAUUGUCUUUAAACUGGGCUAUGGACCAGUACACUACGGAGUCCCUCCCAGGAGUAUCGAGAAGGCUCCACUGACCUCAUGCUGAGGGCUGCCCUUGUGAUGGGAGACAAUGAAGUUUUUCGCUUGCCUUACAGGAGGAAGAUGAAUAAUACAGGACCAAUCAACAUAUCUUUUGCAGCAACAUGACCAAUGGGAUUAACUUGCCUGCCGGGUGAAUAGUAUAUGUGCUUGAGACUGACACAGUUAUGGCUACACCGCUACUGCUCAGUCAAGGGAACCCUGAAAACCUAUUUGCCAAAUUGACAGUCCUGUACAGUAUAUUGAUGUCCAUUGCCCCUGAAGGCCUACAGGAGCCACACUAUAACAGCAAGGGCAGCAACAGUUUGAUUUGGCUACGAAACCCCACAUUCAAGAGAACAACUGCUAACAGGAGAAUACCUACUAGAGAAAAAUAAAUUGUCAUCAGCAAAG
Molecule: long non-coding RNA, 878 nt
Organism: Conger conger (European conger)
Lineage: Eukaryota; Metazoa; Chordata; Actinopteri; Anguilliformes; Congridae
Exons: 3
Source: RefSeq, a predicted model, not a curated record